This 483-nucleotide ribosomal RNA is filed under the name uncultured bacterium. RNAcentral describes it as "partial 16S ribosomal RNA". It matches the Rfam family "Bacterial small subunit ribosomal RNA", at positions 28 to 507 of the family's 1533-position model. The record is from RNAcentral.
GACGAACGCUGGCGGCGUGCUUAACACAUGCAAGUCGAACGCUGAAGCUCAGCUUUUGUUGGGUGGAUGAGUGGCGAACGGGUGAGUAACACGUGAGUAACCUGCCCCCUUCUUUGGGAUAACGCCCGGAAACGGGUGCUAAUACUGGAUAUUCACUGGUCUUCGCAUGGGGGUUGGUGGAAAGGGUUUUUCUGGUGGGGGAUGGGCUCGCGGCCUAUCAGCUUGUUGGUGGGGUGAUGGCCUACCAAGGCUUUGACGGGUAGCCGGCCUGAGAGGGUGACCGGGAACAUUGGGACUGAGAUACGGCCCAGACUCCGACGGGAGGGAGCAGUGGGGAAUAUUGGACAAUGGGCGCAAGACUGAUGCAGCGACGCCGCGUGAGGGAUGGAGGCCUUCGGGUUGUGAACCUCUUUCGCUCAUGGUCAAGCCGAAACAAUGGUUGUGGUGAGGGUAGUGGGUAAAGAAGCGCCGGCUAACUACGUG